RNAcentral lists this ribosomal RNA (218 nucleotides) under uncultured bacterium. RNAcentral describes it as "partial 16S ribosomal RNA". It matches the Rfam family "Bacterial small subunit ribosomal RNA", at positions 57 to 305 of the family's 1533-position model. The record is from RNAcentral.
GCAAGUCGAACGCUCCGCAAGGAGAGUGGCAGACGUGUGAGUAACGCGUGGGAAUCUACCUAGUUCUGCGGAACAACAGUUGGAAACGACUGCUAAUACCGCAUACGCCCUACGGGGGAAAGAUUUAUCUGAAUUAGAUGAGCCCGCGUAAGAUUAGCUAGUUGGUUGGGUAAUGGCCUACCAAUGCGACGAUCUUUAGCUGGUCUGAGAGGAUGAUC